RNAcentral lists this long non-coding RNA (1531 nucleotides) under Sus scrofa (pig). RNAcentral describes it as "lncRNA (ENSSSCG00060036427.1)". The record is from RNAcentral. Lineage: Eukaryota; Metazoa; Chordata; Mammalia; Artiodactyla; Suidae.
CCGCUGCCACAGUUUCUGCAACAAUUUCUGGCAUGUUGGCAUAUUGGCCAGGAAGCCGACAACCAAGCUGGGCCCUUGUGCCACCGUUGUCAGGGAAUUGGGGAAGGCCGAGGUCGCCAGCCCAGUGAGAGGCAGAUAGCACAUGCCCGGCCAUUUUGCAGGAUCUUAACUCUCACUUGGGCCAUCCCGACCUGACUCACACCGCUUCCCAAAGGGACUAAGAAGGAAGAAGGGAAACAGGUUCCAGGAUGGGGCGCCAGACUGGCUCAAGGAAGCCUGGGAGAGUGUGUAUCUGGCAUUUUCAUCUUCAGGAGUGGAGACCUGUCUACCUCAUAAUUUGAAAGAUCCAUCUACAGCAGGUCAGCAUAAGCUGCUCUAAAGAGACUGCUAUAAACCGUGACCUUGGAACAUCUCCCUCUUGCAGCACUUUUGGUUGGGUGAUCAAGCAUCCACCUCCACUUAUCUUCUCUUGUCUUCUCUCCACAAGUGAGACUGGAAAAAAUUCAUCUCUUGUCUGGUUUCUCACAUGGACAAGUCUGGCCAUAGAUGUUAGCCAACGAAGCAUAGCCUCAGGUUUCUAGGAAAGAGAGGAGAGAGUGCUCUGACCUUCGGCUCCUCUUCUGCCUCAUACCCAUGCAUUGCUGACAUUCCAUCUGGAGCUGUAGAUCCCAUUUUGACAUCAUGAGAAGAAAGAUGUGAGACUAAAGGGCAGCCGAAGUAAGAAGGAUGAUGCUACAUCCCUGGCGGUGUUCAUGAGCCAUUGAACCGAUGUUACCACCCAUCCCAUCACCUCCAGACGUCUUGUUAUAAAAGGCAAAUGAAACCCUAUUCGACUAAGCCAUCUUUGGAUAGAGUUAAGGUAACUUACAGCCAAUCUUCUACUACAUGUGGCAUCUCAAAAUAGAUACUCACCCAAGGCAACAGCACAGGGGUGAAGCACCCCAAGAGGUAGUUUCUCUGAGCUAUUCCUCCACCUCCAUCUCAGCACUCAGCCUGAAGCUGCUGCCCAAAGAACAACAGCCCUUGUGACCUAGAAGGAAACAAGGAGCUCUUUGCCCCCACAGUCCUGGAAGCUGGGUCAGAGCUGGAAAUGUAGAGUCACAGAAAGCAAUGGUGUGACAUGUAAGGUGCUAAGAGACAGAGGGAGCUUGCAGAAUGCCUUGGCGCUCUUCAAGGAAGAUCUGGAAGGGAAGAGUGGAUUAAGCAUAAGUGAUGAGGAUCAGCCUGUGAUGUAUCUUUUCAUCAGCGUGUCCCCAACCAGAUGCUCAGACAAGUGUACUCUGGGGUGUACUUAUUACAGGAAAGGCAUGAAACAAUUUGAAAUGCUACUGCCUUAAGGAAGGGUUGGCUGUCUCCAUGUCAUGGAGCAAGGCCAGUCAAGACUUAGCAAAGCAGUGCCCGUAUAAAAAUUACGAAACUAAAUUCUGCAAAGCAUAAGUGGUUACCAAAAUGGUAUCUAAAACCCUGGAAUGAACUUGCGUCCAACAGAGCCUUCACAGAGCACUGGGUAAAGGGCUUAAUGUUAAUGAAA